CAGCCGCCGCGGUAAUACCGGCGGCCCGAGUGGUGGCCGCUAUUAUUGGGCCUAAAGCGUCCGUAGCCGGGCCCGUAAGUCCCUGGCGAAAUCCCACGGCUCAACCGUGGGGCUUGCUGGGGAUACUGCGGGCCUUGGGACCGGGAGAGACGGGGGGUACCCCUGGGGUAGGGGUGAAAUCCUAUAAUCCCAGGGGGACCGCCAGUGGCGAAGGCGCCCCGCUGGAACGGGUCCGACGGUGAGGGACGAAGGCCAGGGGAGCAAACCGGAUUAGAUACCCGGGUAGUCCUGGCUGUAAAGGAUGCGGGCUAGGUGUCGGGUGAGCUUCGGGCUCGCCCGGUGCCGUAGGGAAGCCGUUAAGCCCGCCGCCUGGGGAGUACGGCCGCAAGGCUGAAACUUAAAGGAAUUGCGGG
Molecule: ribosomal RNA, 413 nt
Filed under: uncultured microorganism
Description: bacterial SSU rRNA
Rfam family: Archaeal small subunit ribosomal RNA
Source: RNAcentral